RNAcentral lists this unclassified non-coding RNA (224 nucleotides) under fungal sp. Its description in RNAcentral is "partial internal transcribed spacer region". The stretch from base 1 to 46 matches the Rfam family "Eukaryotic small subunit ribosomal RNA", at positions 1786 to 1831 of the family's 1831-position model. Lineage: Eukaryota; Fungi. The record is from RNAcentral.
AAGUCGUAACAAGGUCUCCGUUGGUGAACCAGCGGAGGGAUCAUUACAGAGAAUCUCUCUCUCUCACCAUGGCGAACGUAAACCCCCCCAACGACGUUCUUCGGCGGAGCGGCCCCCGUGGCGGCGCCGCCGGAGAGCCCCUACAAACGCUGUAUUUUCGUGGCUUCUCUGAGUAUGAUUAUCGCAAUCAGUCAAAACUUUCAACAACGGAUCUCUUGGCUCUG